AGUGAACGUUGGCGGCGUGGAUUAGGCAUGCAAGUCGAGCGAGAACCGUAGCAAUACGGGGACAGCGGCGAAAGGGACAGUAAUGUGUAGGUACCUACCUCCGGGUUCGGGAUAGCUGCGGGAAACUGCAGGUAAUACCGAAUAACGUCUCCGGACCAAAGGUGUGAUUCCACCUGGAGAGGGGCCUGCAUCCUAUUAGCUUGUUGGCGGGGUAACGGCCCACCAAGGCGACGAUGGGUAGCGGGUGUGAGAGCACGACCCGCGUCAUUGGGACUGGGACACUGCCCAGACACCUACGGGUGGCUGCAGUCGAGGAUCUUCGGCAAUGGGCGCAAGCCUGACCGAGCGACGCCGCGUGCGGGAUGAAGGCCUUCGGGUUGUAAACCGCUGUCGUAGGGGAGGAAGUGCAGGGGGGUUCUCCCCUCUGUUUGACCUAUUCUAGGAGGAAGGACGGGCUAAGUUCGUGCCAGCCGCCGCGGUAA
Molecule: ribosomal RNA, 482 nt
Filed under: uncultured bacterium
Lineage: Bacteria
Description: partial 16S ribosomal RNA
Rfam family: Bacterial small subunit ribosomal RNA
Source: RNAcentral